GACGAACGCUGGCGGCGUGCUUAACACAUGCAAGUCGAACGCUGAAGCUCAGCUUUUGUUGGGUGGAUGAGUGGCGAACGGGUGAGUAACACGUGAGUAACCUGCCUCCUUCUUUGGGAUAACGCCCGGAAACGGGUGCUAAUACUGGAUAUUCACUGGUCUUCGCCUGGGGGUUGGUGGAAAGGGUUUUUCUGGUGGGGGAUGGGCUCGCGGCCUAUCCGCUUGUUGGUGGGGUGAUGGCCUAACAAGGCGUUGACGGGUAGCCGGCCUGAGAGGGUGACCGGGAACAUUGGCACGGAGCUACGGCCCAGACGCGUCCGGGAGGGAGCAGUGGGGAAUAUUGGACAAGGCGCGAAAGACUGACGCAGCGACGCUGCGUGAGGGAUGGGGGUCUUAGGGUUGUGAACCUAGUGCGCUCAUGGUCAAGCCGCAACAAUGGUUGUGGUGAGGGUAGUGGGUAAAGAAGCGCCGGCUAACUACGUG
This 483-nucleotide ribosomal RNA is filed under the name uncultured bacterium. Its description in RNAcentral is "partial 16S ribosomal RNA". It matches the Rfam family "Bacterial small subunit ribosomal RNA", at positions 28 to 507 of the family's 1533-position model. The record is from RNAcentral.